CAUUAGAUGGCUGAAUUAAUAAGCAAUGGUCUCUUAAACCAUAAAAUGGUUAGAUAUUAACCUCUAAUGG
This 70-nucleotide transfer RNA is filed under the name Damon diadema. RNAcentral describes it as "tRNA-Lys". Lineage: Eukaryota; Metazoa; Arthropoda; Arachnida; Amblypygi; Phrynichidae. The record is from RNAcentral.